ACUAUUAUUGAAAAAUUGCUUACUUUUUCAUUUUUGCCAUAUACUUAUAAAAUAAAUCAAUUGGAAUAUAAAUAUUAUACUUACAUUUCAGUGUAUAUAGAGCAGUAUAAUAAAGUCAUUGUCUGUCUAAAAUCUUAGUCUGUACUGACUUUGCUAGGUUUUUUUUUGUUUUUGUUUUUUUUUUUACAUAACCUAUUGUAAAACUAGUCAAAUAUCUAGAUGAGUUGAUGUACCUCCUAGAAGACCUCUGUGUAUCCCCAGUACGCAUACCCCUGGUUGAGAACCACUGCUCUAAGCAAAAAUGUUUAUUCCCUUGGUGUUAUGGUUCGGUGGUAUGUUGGGAUUACCUGUUUGUUUGAUGGUUAUAUGUUUUAUGUCAUGUGACUAGAUUGAUAAAUUGUUGCAACAACAUUUUUGUGCGCAAAGGUGUGAAUAAAGAAGUUAAUAGGAAAAUAAUUUGAUGGUACCACACAGUUUCAAUAUUAGAAUUAGGGUUUGAUCACCAUGUGCAUGUUCCUAUAAGACACCAAUAGUAGUUCCAUUUUUGCAAAUGUCAGUCAAAUAUAAGUAUAUUUGUCUCAAUGAAAAAAUUAAUUGUAAUUAAUAUAUAUAAAUAUAAAUACAAUUUUGAUUUGGAGUUUGUCAGGACCCAGAUUAAAAUUCAGGAGCUCACUGAGCAAACCACUAUAAUAUUAAUGUAACUAUAUAACAUUACUAUAUUAGAGCAGUUUUAUAAUGUUACAAUAUAUAUUUGGUUAUCAUAAAGAAACAAAGAAAAUACUUAAAAAAAACAGGUUCUAGCUAAAGUAACAUGGUGUUGGGGUUAUCAAGAUAAUCACCCCAGCAAGAGAGUGAGUGAGUAAGUAAAGUGUGUGUUUGUUUGUGUGU
Molecule: long non-coding RNA, 888 nt
Organism: Dermochelys coriacea (leatherback sea turtle)
Lineage: Eukaryota; Metazoa; Chordata; Testudines; Dermochelyidae
Exons: 3
Source: RefSeq, a predicted model, not a curated record